Small nucleolar RNA from Rhododendron vialii, 108 nucleotides. RefSeq annotates it as small nucleolar RNA snoR100. The record is from RefSeq and is a predicted model, not a curated record. The transcript has a single exon. NCBI's taxonomy places the organism in Eukaryota, Viridiplantae, Streptophyta, Magnoliopsida, Ericales, Ericaceae.
CAAUGAAAGAAGCAUGAUAAUGUACACAUAAAUUGAUUUGGGUCUCUAAGUCUAUUCUCUCUCAUGCCAUAUGACUUUGAUUUAGGGGCAUGAUUUUACAACAAAACG